GAUGAACGCUGGCGGCGCGCCUAACACAUGCAAGUCGAACGGUUAAAGCACCUUCGGGUGUGUAUAAAGUGGCGAACGGCUGAGUAACACGUGGGCAACCUGCCCCUCGCACCGGGAUAGCCUCGGGAAACCGUGGUUAAUACCGGAUACUCCGGGACCCCCGCAUGGGGGUGCCGGGAAAGCCCUGACGGCGAGGGAUGGGCCCGCGGCCUGUUAGCUUGUUGGCGGGGUAACGGCCCACCAAGGCGAUUAUGGGUAGCCGGGUUGAGAGACGACUGGCCAGAUUGGGACUGAGAAACGGUCCAGAUCCUACGGGAGGCAGCACGGUCAAUACGUUCC
RNAcentral lists this ribosomal RNA (339 nucleotides) under uncultured bacterium. RNAcentral's name for it is "bacterial SSU rRNA". It matches the Rfam family "Bacterial small subunit ribosomal RNA", at positions 28 to 369 of the family's 1533-position model. The record is from RNAcentral.